UGGGGAAUAUUGCACAAUGGGCGCAAGCCUGAUGCAGCCAUGCCGCGUGUAUGAAGAAGGCCUUCGGGUUGUAAAGUACUUUCAGCGGGGAGGAAGGCGAUAAGGUUAAUAACCUUGUCGAUUGACGUUACCCGCAGAAGAAGCACCGGCUAACUCCGUGCCAGCAGCCGCGGUAAUACGGAGGGUGCAAGCGUUAAUCGGAAUUACUGGGCGUAAAGCGCACGCAGGCGGUCUGUCAAGUCGGAUGUGAAAUCCCCGGGCUCAACCUGGGAACUGCAUUCGAAACUGGCAGGCUAGAGUCUUGUAGAGGGGGGUAGAAUUCCAGGUGUAGCGGUGAAGUGCGUAGAGAUCUGGAGGAAUACCGGUGGCGAAGGCGGCCCCCUGGACAAAGACUGACGCUCAGGUGCGAAAGCGUGGGGAGCAAACA
RNAcentral lists this ribosomal RNA (427 nucleotides) under uncultured bacterium. RNAcentral describes it as "partial 16S ribosomal RNA". It matches the Rfam family "Bacterial small subunit ribosomal RNA", at positions 355 to 774 of the family's 1533-position model. The record is from RNAcentral.